AGUGUUUGAUCCUGGCUCAGAUUGAACGCUGGCGGCAGGCUUAACACAUGCAAGUCGAGCGGGGGAAGGUAGCUUGCUACUGGACCUAGCGGCGGACGGGUGAGUAAUGCUUGGGAAUCUGCCUAUUAGUGGGGGACAACAUCUCGAAAGGGAUGCUAAUACCGCAUACGUCCUACGGGAGAAAGCAGGGGAUCUUCGGACCUUGCGCUAAUAGAUGAGCCUAAGUCGGAUUAGCUAGUUGGUGGGGUAAAGGCCUACCAAGGCGACGAUCUGUAGCGGGUCUGAGAGGAUGAUCCGCCACACUGGGACUGAGACACGGCCCAGACUCCUACGGGAGGCAGCAGUGGGGAAUAUUGGACAAUGGGCGCAAGCCUGAUCCAGCCAUGCCGCGUGUGUGAAGAAGGCCUUAUGGUUGUAAAGCACUUUAAGCGAGGAGGAGGCUACUUUAGAUAAUACCUAGAGAUAGUGGACGUUACUCGCAGAAUAAGCACCGGCUAACUCUGUGCCAGCAGCCGCGGUAAUACAGAGGGUGCAAGCGUUAAUCGGAUUUACUGGGCGUAAAGCGCGCGUAGGCGGCUAAUUAAGUCAAAUGUGAAAUCCCCGAGCUUAACUUGGGAAUUGCAUUCGAUACUGGUUAGCUAGAGUGUGGGAGAGGAUGGUAGAAUUCCAGGUGUAGCGGUGAAAUGCGUAGAGAUCUGGAGGAAUACCGAUGGCGAAGGCAGCCAUCUGGCCUAACACUGACGCUGAGGUGCGAAAGCAUGGGGAGCAAACAGGAUUAGAUACCCUGGUAGUCCAUGCCGUAAACGAUGUCUACUAGCCGUUGGGGCCUUUGAGGCUUUAGUGGCGCAGCUAACGCGAUAAGUAGACCGCCUGGGGAGUACGGUCGCAAGACUAAAACUCAAAUGAAUUGACGGGGGCCCGCACAAGCGGUGGAGCAUGUGGUUUAAUUCGAUGCAACGCGAAGAACCUUACCUGGCCUUGACAUAGUAAAAACUUUCCAGAGAUGGAUUGGUGCCUUCGGGAACUUACAUACAGGUGCUGCAUGGCUGUCGUCAGCUCGUGUCGUGAGAUGUUGGGUUAAGUCCCGCAACGAGCGCAACCCUUUUCCUUAUUUGCCAGCGAGUAAUGUCGGGAACUUUAAGGAUACUGCCAGUGACAAACUGGAGGAAGGCGGGGACGACGUCAAGUCAUCAUGGCCCUUACGGCCAGGGCUACACACGUGCUACAAUGGUCGGUACAAAGGGUUGCUACACAGCGAUGUGAUGCUAAUCUCAAAAAGCCGAUCGUAGUCCGGAUUGGAGUCUGCAACUCGACUCCAUGAAGUCGGAAUCGCUAGUAAUCGCGGAUCAGAAUGCCGCGGUGAAUACGUUCCCGGGCCUUGUACACACCGCCCGUCACACCAUGGGAGUUUGUUGCACCAGAAGUAGCUAGCCUAACUGCAAAGAGGGCGGUUACCACGGUGUGGCCGAUGACUGGGGUGAAGUCGUAACAAGGUAACC
This 1499-nucleotide ribosomal RNA is filed under the name uncultured bacterium. Its description in RNAcentral is "bacterial SSU rRNA". It matches the Rfam family "Bacterial small subunit ribosomal RNA". The record is from RNAcentral.